GUCGUGCGAUACAUGAGUUUUCAGCUUCUAUAAAGGUUGGUUCUUCUUGGUUGCCAGCCCGAGCCCGUAAUCAGUGUCACACCGACGAUCGAUCCUCAUCGACAUUAACUACAACCUGAAGGGUCUGACGUGAGUGAGUGAGAGAGACAUAUAUAAGAUAUAUAGCUACAAGUAUAGGAAUCAACGGAAGGACGCACAAUGAGGCGUGUCUAGAGCGUGAGUGAGUGACGAUCAAUCGAUCGAUCGUCUCUAACGUCGGGAUUAAACUACUAUCACGUCUGUAUGGUAAAUUGAUCGAUGAUCGAUCAUGCACUUUCUCUGCUUAUUCGAAGAUGCAUAACUCCAGUUUAUUUGUAGUAGUACCUGAACUGUUCAGAGUGACGGUACACCACCCGGUAUCGAGAAGAAAAGUAAUGACAUAACCGGUGGUUCUAGUGUUCUCGUUCUUAGUGGUUGUAACUAGGUGUCGCAUGUUGUCCGGUUGAAGGUGGGUACCACUUACCUGAACGAGAGGAUCCUAAUAAUGGAUGGGAAGACUUCUUCCCAGAUGGUGGAUACCAGUUAAUAGAUAUACAAUUGAUACCGUCACAGAAGUGACAUUCAACGAAACCUCACUAGUUCCAUUGUGAGAACUAGCCCGGUCUCCGCUGCUGAGUAAAGAAGGUUCCAAACCUCAGUCUCUAAUCGGUACCAUUAGACGAACUCAAGUGUCACGGGUACAAACCGUUCCGUCAACCAAUACCAUCUCUAUGGCGGUGGGCUUACCUUGUUUACGCGAAGGUGUCACUUCGUGACUCCCGUAGGUCCAAUUCCUCGGUACAAAGAGGUUACGAAGUUCUUCACCUCCUAAAGAAACGUUUCACCCCUCUCCUUCCGCAUCAACUAGAUUUCGAACUCAAGAUCGUCGAUGAAUACAACUAUAGUCCGACUACAAACGAACCUUUUCUCCAGGCCCUCUUAUACAAACUACUUCAGAUGUGUGAAAAAGCGCUCUAGCUUUUCCCACACUGGAACUAGUCGAAGAACAAGGGUAUAGAGGGUUGAGGUCGUUUGACCGUCGCACUAUCCCGCGCAUAUUCCGAUUGUCUCUAGGAGAGAUUACAACAGCUUAGGGCAUUCUCGAGGCCCGCUCACCUCCUCCUGUGCGACGUCUUUGACUAACUGAGGUUCAUGUUUCUACCAGCGGGAUGUUGUCAUCUUCUCCAUCAGCCCAACUAGUAACCGAACGACAAACGACCUUUUGUGUGGUCGAGAGUAUGAUCAUGAACCUGACCUCGAACAGAAGAGUCGGUAGGUCGGAAGAAUUCUCGACGGUAACUCCUCGUUGUAGUUCAGCGGUUCUUUAUGUUCCUGCCUGAUCUUAUGUUACGGAAGAAUCUCUACCUAUGCGACGUAUUAACGUAGUUCCUCCGCGACGCCUUCUUGGGACGCUGUGGUGACGACCAAGCGUCCCAGGUAUUCGCGAAGUGCCACGUCUGCUUUCUUCCGGUUGUUAUACUGUAGGUCGUCCUGAUGUAGCAUCGUUGAGGAUGAUAUCAUUUGUUGUUAUAGGGAAUGUAAAUAUGCCUGGGAGUCCACAUACUAGGUUUAGCCAAACCGGGGCUUUCUUCUCUCCUGUUUCACCCACCGUUCAAGAGAAUGUGUAGUAAACCACCACCUUCCGUGCAAACGUGGCCUCUCCGAAUACGAAUGUACGUUGAGUUUCACUAUACCUCGGUAAACGACUCCUUGAAACUAGAGCUUAACCAGAGAGGGAAGGGAUUGUGUCUGACCUCGUUCAAGAACGGUCUAGGUGUCCCUUUUAAUGAGCACUCUAUAUGCUCUUUACCUUAAAUUAAACGUCAGCGAAUUGAUAUACUAGAUGAAGAUGCACAUAAGUACGUUAGUUAUACAUGACAUACGUAUACAGAAAAGUAUACACAUUGGAUGUUUUUUCGUACAAACAUAAACACACUACGUAUGAACAUAACCCUCUGUUAGUACAACGCAACUCAUCGCCUGAUCCCCAACUCAUACCAGUUAUGGGUGUUGAUACAGGUAUUAUUUAUUUAUUUAUAUAACACAAACAACGAAAGCU
This 2077-nucleotide ribosomal RNA is filed under the name Triticum aestivum (bread wheat). RNAcentral's name for it is "partial small subunit ribosomal RNA". Lineage: Eukaryota; Viridiplantae; Streptophyta; Magnoliopsida; Poales; Poaceae. The record is from RNAcentral.